UCACAAGAUGCGAUACACUAUCCUAUUCCGACAUUUAUAUGAUUGUCGCCUCUUACUUCUUGGGGAAAGAAAAUCCAACAGAUCCGGCUCUCGAUUCGAUUCCGCUUCUGCUUGGUGGGGUUCACUUCUUUUGCAGAUACACAAGUUUUCCGAUUUCCCUUAUCUCAGGUUAAUUGCAACACUUUUGGUAGCACACUUGUAACAAGAAAAUACCUUCCCUAGGUAUGGAAACUGAGGAUAUGAUUGGCCUCCCUGCUUCCAGCAAUUCUAGAGAUAGCAGUGAGAGCGGUGAAAUUCACAAGUCUGGAUUUGGGUCAGGUGAAGCUGAUUCUCAGCCUAGGAAUUUUGAAGCUGAAGAAGAUGUGGGUGAUGGAGAUAGUUUGAGGCUCAAUAAUGACGUUGAUAUUGAUACAGAAAAAGGAAUAAGAGGCCCUUGAUUGUUUGGCGCUUGUCGAAGACGAUACUGGAGCAGAAAAAAUAUUAGGAGAUUCUGAGGUUUUGGACAGCAAUGAAGAUGAUAUUGGAACAGAAGAACAUGUGACAAGAUUAGAGAACGAAAUAUUAAGUUAUUGAUGCAUUGAAAUAUAUAAUUUUCAACUAACAUUUUAUCCAUCAAAGCAUAAUGGAUUGGAAAUAUUGGUUUAUAUUUAAAUUAAUGCAAAGUAGCAAGAAAUUGCCAUAUUUAUCCAGCA
Long non-coding RNA from Jatropha curcas, 692 nucleotides. RefSeq lists it as uncharacterized. The record is from RefSeq and is a predicted model, not a curated record. NCBI's taxonomy places the organism in Eukaryota, Viridiplantae, Streptophyta, Magnoliopsida, Malpighiales, Euphorbiaceae.